Molecule: long non-coding RNA, 328 nt
Organism: Girardinichthys multiradiatus
Lineage: Eukaryota; Metazoa; Chordata; Actinopteri; Cyprinodontiformes; Goodeidae
Exons: 3
Source: RefSeq, a predicted model, not a curated record
GUUCCUAGGGUCAUCCCUGUGGCUGGUGGGUGGAGGGCCCGCUGAAGGAGAGGAGAAGAGGCGUCAAGUGCUCCUGGUCGGAGGAAGAGCUUCUGCUCCUCUUUCACAGUCGUGUACGCCCGGCAACCCAAGUUGUGCGCCAAGUGUCCUAAACUGGAAACUAAAACCGUCUGCAGCAGAUGACCUAUCGACUACGUGGAGGAGCCGAGCUUCAGAGCGUUGAAGGAGGAGCCGCUCAGGUCCAUUCUCUUUGGGGUCAUUUACUGCGAAGACGUCCGACACAUGGAUGAAAGGAAAACUGAGAUGUAAAGGCAAGAACAAAUAAAAG